GAUGAACGCUGGCGGCGUGCCUAAUACAUGCAAGUCGAGCGAACGGACGAGAAGCUUGCUUUUCUGAUGUUAGCGGCGGACGGGUGAGUAACACGUGGAUAACCUACCUAUAAGACGGGGAUAACUUCGGGAAUCCGGAGCUAAUACCGGAUAAUAUUUUGAACCGCAGGGUUCAAAAGUGAAAGACGGUCGUGCUGGCACGUAUAGAUGGAUCCGCGCUGCAUUAGCUAGUUGGUAAGGUAACGGCUUACCAAGGCAACGAUGCAUAGGCGACCUGAGAGGGUGGUAGGCCGCCCUGGAGCUGAGCCACGCUCCAGAGUCCUACGGGAGGCCGCAGUAGGGAAUCGUCCGCAGCGGGGGAAAGCAUUACGGAGUAGCGCCGCGUGAGUUAUAACGGUGUUCGGAUCGUAAAACCGUGUUAUUAGGGAAGAACAUAUGUGUACGUAAAUGUGCACAGAUUGACGGUAACUAAUCAGAAAGCCACGGCUAACUACGUG
This 497-nucleotide ribosomal RNA is filed under the name uncultured bacterium. Its description in RNAcentral is "partial 16S ribosomal RNA". It matches the Rfam family "Bacterial small subunit ribosomal RNA", at positions 28 to 507 of the family's 1533-position model. The record is from RNAcentral.